This 724-nucleotide ribosomal RNA is filed under the name Bacillus sp. FJAT-4721. Its description in RNAcentral is "bacterial SSU rRNA". It matches the Rfam family "Bacterial small subunit ribosomal RNA", at positions 59 to 763 of the family's 1533-position model. The record is from RNAcentral. Lineage: Bacteria; Bacillati; Bacillota; Bacilli; Caryophanales; Bacillaceae.
CAGUCGAGCGAAUGGAUUAAGAGCUUGCUCUUAUGAAGUUAGCGGCGGACGGGUGAGUAACACGUGGGUAACCUGCCCAUAAGACUGGGAUAACUCCGGGAAACCGGGGCUAAUACCGGAUAACAUUUUGCGCUGCAUGGCGCGAAAUUGAAAGGCGGCUUCGGCUGUCACUUAUGGAUGGACCCGCGUCGCAUUAGCUAGUUGGUGAGGUAACGGCUCACCAAGGCAACGAUGCGUAGCCGACCUGAGAGGGUGAUCGGCCACACUGGGACUGAGACACGGCCCAGACUCCUACGGGAGGCAGCAGUAGGGAAUCUUCCGCAAUGGACGAAAGUCUGACGGAGCAACGCCGCGUGAGUGAUGAAGGCUUUCGGGUCGUAAAACUCUGUUGUUAGGGAAGAACAAGUGCUAGUUGAAUAAGCUGGCACCUUGACGGUACCUAACCAGAAAGCCACGGCUAACUACGUGCCAGCAGCCGCGGUAAUACGUAGGUGGCAAGCGUUAUCCGGAAUUAUUGGGCGUAAAGCGCGCGCAGGUGGUUUCUUAAGUCUGAUGUGAAAGCCCACGGCUCAACCGUGGAGGGUCAUUGGAAACUGGGAGACUUGAGUGCAGAAGAGGAAAGUGGAAUUCCAUGUGUAGCGGUGAAAUGCGUAGAGAUAUGGAGGAACACCAGUGGCGAAGGCGACUUUCUGGUCUGUAACUGACACUGAGGCGCGAAAGCGUG